GACGAACGCUGGCGGCGUGCUUAACACAUGCAAGUCGAACGGAAAGGCCCUGCUUGCAGGGUACUCGAGUGGCGAACGGGUGAGUAACACGUGGGUGAUCUGCCCUUCACUUCGGGAUAAGCCUGGGAAACUGGGUCUAAUACCGGAUAUGACCUUCCAUGUAGUGUGGGGGGUGGAAAGAUUUAUCGGUGUGGGAUGAGCCCGCGGCCUAUCAGCUUGUUGGUGGGGUAAUGGCCUACCAAGGCGUCGACGGGUAGCCGGCCUGAGAGGGUGGACGGCCACAUUGGGACUGAGAUACGGCCCAGACUCCUACGGGAGGCAGCAGUGGGGAAUAUUGCACAAUGGGCGGAAGCCUGAUGCAGCGACGCCGCGUGGGGGAUGACGGCCUUCGGGUUGUAAACCUCUUUCGACAGGGACGAAGCUUAGGUGACGGUACCUGUAGAAGAAGCACCGGCUAACUACGUG
Molecule: ribosomal RNA, 465 nt
Filed under: uncultured bacterium
Lineage: Bacteria
Description: partial 16S ribosomal RNA
Rfam family: Bacterial small subunit ribosomal RNA
Source: RNAcentral